AGGCCAAUUGUCAAAGUGGGUCCACAUUUAACAACAAAUUGCUUAGGAAAAUGAUGUGAAUAAUUAAGCAGUUAAUGAGAGCAAUAUUUACUCGACAAGUGGCCCACGAAACUGAUAAUUAAGGCUUAAUUAAGGGAAUCACUUGAUUAGCCAUACAACCAAAGGGUCAAAUCUGUUUCCCUUUCCAACCUAUUGUCCUUCUUUUUCAUGUCUAAUUCACAUUUCAACCAUUGAUAUGUCUUCCCACCUUUCCCAAAGGGAAUUUUUUUUUUUAAUUUUUUUUUUUAUGUUUUGUUCUUGUUGCUUUUCACUCCAAU
This 317-nucleotide long non-coding RNA is filed under the name Vigna radiata. RNAcentral's name for it is "long non-coding RNA (VRAD_LNC001517)". The record is from RNAcentral. Lineage: Eukaryota; Viridiplantae; Streptophyta; Magnoliopsida; Fabales; Fabaceae.